CCUACGGGCGGCAGCAGUGAGGAAUAUUGGUCAAUGGGCGGAACCCUGAUCCAACGACGCCGCGUGAGUGAAGAAGGAUUUCGGUAUGUAAAGCUCUAUCAGCAGGGAAGAAAAUGACGGUACCUGACUAAGAAGCCCCGGCUAACUACGUGACAGCAGCCGCGGUAAUACGUAGGGGGCAAGCGUUAUCCGGAUUUACUGGGUGUAAAGGGAGCGUAGACGGUGCAGCAAGUCUGCUGUGAAAGGUCGGGGCCCAAACCCGGGACUGCAUUGGAAACUGUUGAACUGGAGUACAGGAGAGGUAAGCGGAAUGCCUAGUGUAGCGGUGAAAUGCGUAGAUAUUAGGAGGAACACCAGUGGCGAAGGCGGCUUACUGGACUGUAACUGACGCUGAGGCUCGAAAGCGUGGGUAGCAAACAGGAUUAGAUACCCGUGUAGUC
Molecule: ribosomal RNA, 440 nt
Filed under: uncultured bacterium
Lineage: Bacteria
Description: partial 16S ribosomal RNA
Rfam family: Bacterial small subunit ribosomal RNA
Source: RNAcentral